CCAUUAGCUAGGACUGGGUUGCUUUUAUUCUUUCUCAAAUUGGGUCCUUGAGAAUGAGUGGGAGUGCGUCUUCAUAGAAAUGUUAUCAGUUGUCUCAACAUUUUGCUUGUUUCUGUUUGAUGUGUGAUUAUCAUGUGCAUCUCUCUCAGGGAGGUUUGAUGUGUGAUUAUCAUGUGCAUCUCUCUCAGGGAGGUUUGAUGUGGGAUUAUAAUGUGCAUCUCUCUCAGGGAGGUUUUAUGUGUGAUUAUGUGUACCUCUCUCAGGGAGGUUUGAUGUGUGAUAAUAAUGUGUACCUCUCUCAGGGAGGUUUGAUGUGUGAUU
This 321-nucleotide long non-coding RNA is filed under the name Salmo salar (Atlantic salmon). RNAcentral's name for it is "lncRNA (ENSSSAG00000110546.1)". Lineage: Eukaryota; Metazoa; Chordata; Actinopteri; Salmoniformes; Salmonidae. The record is from RNAcentral.